GACGAACGCUGGCGGCGUGCUUAACACAUGCAAGUCGAACGGAAAGGCCCUGCUUUUGUGGGGUGCUCGAGUGGCGAACGGGUGAGUAACACGUGAGUAACCUGCCCUUGACUUUGGGAUAACUUCAGGAAACUGGGGCUAAUACCGGAUAGGAGCUCCUGCUGCAUGGUGGGGGUUGGAAAGUUUCGGCGGUUGGGGAUGGACUCGCGGCUUAUCAGCUUGUUGGUGGGGUAGUGGCUUACCAAGGCUUUGACGGGUAGCCGGCCUGAGAGGGUGACCGGCCACAUUGGGACUGAGAUACGGCCCAGACUCCUACGGGAGGCAGCAGUGGGGAAUAUUGCACAAUGGGCGGAAGCCUGAUGCAGCAACGCCGCGUGCGGGAUGACGGCCUUCGGGUUGUAAACCGCUUUCGCCUGUGACGAAGCGUGAGUGACGGUGAUGGGUAAAGAAGCACCGGCUAACUACGUGCCAGCAGCCGCGGUGAUACGUAGGGUGCGAGCGUUGUCCGGAUUUAUUGGGCGUAAAGGGCUCGUAGGUGGUUGAUCGCGUCGGAAGUGUAAUCUUGGGGCUUAACCCUGAGCGUGCUUUCGAUACGGGUUGACUUGAGGAAGGUAGGGGAGAAUGGAAUUCCUGGUGGAGCGGUGGAAUGCGCAGAUAUCAGGAGGAACACCAGUGGCGAAGGCGGUUCUCUGGGCCUUUCCUGACGCUGAGGAGCGAAAGCGUGGGGAGCGAACAGGCUUAGAUACCCUGGUAGUCCACGCUGUAAACGGUGGGUACUAGGUGUGGGGUCCAUUCCACGGGUUCCGUGCCGUAGCUAACGCUUUAAGUACCCCGCCUGGGGAGUACGGCCGCAAGGCUAAAACUCAAAGGAAUUGACGGGGCCCCGCACAAGCGGCGGAGCAUGCGGAUUAAUUCGAUGCAACGCGUAGAACCUUACCUGGGUUUGACAUGGAUCGGGAGUGCUCAGAGAUGGGUGUGCCUCUUUUGGGGUCGGUUCACAGGUGGUGCAUGGCUGUCGUCAGCUCGUGUCGUGAGAUGUUGGGUUAAGUCCCGCAACGAGCGCAACCCUUGUUCACUGUUGCCAGCACGUUAUGGUGGGGACUCAGUGGAGACCGCCGGGGUCAACUCGGAGGAAGGUGGGGAUGACGUCAAGUCAUCAUGCCCCUUAUGUCCAGGGCUUCACGCAUGCUACAAUGGCUGGUACAGAGAGUGGCGAGCCUGUGAGGGUGAGCGAAUCUCGGAAAGCCGGUCUCAGUUCGGAUUGGGGUCUGCAACUCGACCUCAUGAAGUCGGAGUCGCUAGUAAUCGCAGAUCAGCAACGCUGCGGUGAAUACGUUCCCGGG
Molecule: ribosomal RNA, 1343 nt
Filed under: uncultured bacterium
Lineage: Bacteria
Description: 16S ribosomal RNA
Rfam family: Bacterial small subunit ribosomal RNA
Source: RNAcentral